Molecule: ribosomal RNA, 913 nt
Filed under: uncultured bacterium
Lineage: Bacteria
Description: bacterial SSU rRNA
Rfam family: Archaeal small subunit ribosomal RNA
Source: RNAcentral
UUUCCGGUUGAUCCUGCCAGAGGUCACUGCUAUCGGGGUUCGAUUAAGCCAUGCGAGUCGAGAGGGUUCGGCCCUCGGCGUACUGCUCAGUAACACGUGGAUAACCUGCCCUAAGGAAGGGGAUACCCCCGGGAAACUGGGUAUAAUACCCUAUAGAUUACAGAUGCUGGAAUGCCCUGUAAUCGAAAGUUCCGACGCCUUAGGAUGGAUCUGCGGCCGAUUAGGUUGUUGUCGGGGUAAUGGCCCAACAAGCCAGUGAUCGGUACGGGUUGUGGGAGCAAGAGCCCGGAGUUGGAUUCUGAGACACGAAUCCAGGCCCUACGGGGCGCAGCAGGCGCGAAAACUUUACAAUGCGGGCAACCGUGAUAAGGGAACCUCGAGUGCCUGUAUAUGCAGGCUGUCCAGGUGUCUAAAACACACCUGAAGAAAGGGCCGGGCAAGACCGGUGCCAGCCGCCGCGGUAAUACCGGCGGCUCGAGUGGUGGCCACUUUUAUUGGGCUUAAAGCGUUCGUAGCUGGGUCGUUAAGUCUCUUGGGAAAUCCGGCAGCUCAACUGUCGGGCGUCUAAGAGAUACUGGCGAUCUUGGAACCGGGAGAGGUGAGGGGUACUUCGGGGGUAGGAGUGAAAUCCUGUAAUCCUCGAGGGACCACCUGUGGCGAAGGCGCCUCACCAGAACGGCUUCGACAGUGAGGGACGAAAGCUGGGGGAGCAAACCGGAUUAGAUACCCGGGUAGUCCCAGCCGUAAACGAUGUGCGUUAGGUGUAUCAACGACCAUGAGUCGUUGAGGUGCCGAAGGGAAACCGUGAAACGUACCGCCUGGGAAGUACGGUCGCAAGGCUGAAACUUAAAGGAAUUGGCGGGGGAGCACCACAACAGGUGGAGCCUGCGGUUUAAUUGGACUCAACGCCGGA